Molecule: ribosomal RNA, 253 nt
Filed under: uncultured bacterium
Lineage: Bacteria
Description: partial 16S ribosomal RNA
Rfam family: Bacterial small subunit ribosomal RNA
Source: RNAcentral
UACGUAGGUGGCAAGCGUUAUCCGGAAUUAUUGGGCGUAAAGCGCGCGCAGGCGGUUUCUUAAGUCUGAUGUGAAAGCCCACGGCUCAACCGUGGAGGGUCAUUGGAAACUGGGGAACUUGAGUGCAGAAGAGAAAAGCGGAAUUCCACGUGUAGCGGUGAAAUGCGUAGAGAUGUGGAGGAACACCAGUGGCGAAGGCGGCUUUUUGGUCUGUAACUGACGCUGAGGUGCGAAAGCGUGGGGAGCAAACAGG